GAUGAACGCUGGCGGCGUGCCUAAUACAUGCAAGUCGAGCGAACGGACGAGAAGCUUGCUUCUCUGAUGUUAGCGGCGGACGGGUGAGUAACACGUGGAUAACCUACCUAUAAGACUGGGAUAACUUCGGGAAACCGGAGCUAAUACCGGAUAAUAUUUUGAACCGCAUGGUUCAAAAGUGAAAGACGGUCUUGCUGUCACUUAUAGAUGGAUCCGCGCUGCAUUAGCUAGUUGGUAAGGUAACGGCUUACCAAGGCAACGAUGCAUAGCCGACCGGCGAGGGUGAUCGGCCACACUGGAACGUGGACACGGUCCAGACUCCUACGGGAGGCAGCAGUAGGGAAUCUUCCGCAAUAGGCGAAAGCCUGACGGAGCAACGCCGCGUGAGUGAUGAAGGUCUUCGGAUCGUAAAACUCUGUUAUUAGGGAAGAACAUAUGUGUAAGUAACUGUGCACAUCUUGACGGUACCUAAUCAGAAAGCCACGGCUAACUACGUG
This 497-nucleotide ribosomal RNA is filed under the name uncultured bacterium. RNAcentral describes it as "partial 16S ribosomal RNA". It matches the Rfam family "Bacterial small subunit ribosomal RNA", at positions 28 to 507 of the family's 1533-position model. The record is from RNAcentral.